AUCUUUAAAUUUAAAGAUUUGGCGGUAUUUUAGUCUAUUCAGAGGAACCUGUUUUUUAAUCGAUAAUCCACGAUAUAAUUUACUUUAAUUUUAAAUUUGUAUACCAUCGUAGUUUGAAUAUUUUUUGAUAAAAUAUUUUCAGAUCAAGGUGCAGUUUAUAUUAAAGUUAAAAUGGGUUACAAUAGAAUUUUUUAAUAAAUUGGAUUUGAUAGUAAGCUCUAAAAUAUGUACAUAUCGCCCGUCGCUUUCAUUUUAAAGUGAAAUAAGUCGUAACAAAGUAGGCUUAUUGGAAAAUGAGCCUGGAAUUCAAAUUAGAGCUUGAUAAGCAUUUUAGUUACAUUAAAAAGUUAAUUGUGAAAUUCAAUUUAAUUUGAAUAUAAAAAUUUAUUUUAUUUAAGUUUAUUUAUUUUUAAUAAAAAAUUUUAUUUUUUAAGUAUUUAAAUAGAAAUAUUUAAUAAUAGUUUAUAGUAUUGUGAAAGAAUAUUUUUAUUAAUUUAAAAGAAGAUUUAAUUAUUGUACCUNNNNNNNNNNNNNNNNNNNNNNNNCUCGAAUUUUAAAGAGCUAAUAUUAUUGUAAAAUAAAUAUUUUUAAUAUUUUCUUAGUAAUGAAACGUUAAUCGUUUUUUAAUAUAUCUAGUUUUUUUAGAAAUAAAUUCAAUUAGAAAAUUUUAUAAUAUUAUAUUAGGGGAAAAUCUUUUAAGCAAAUUUUUAUAAUUAAAUAAUUAUUUAUUAAAAAUAGGAUUAGAAUUUUCUAUUUUUAAAAGAAUGUUAUAAUUGAUUUUUUAAUUUUUUUAUUAAAAUAUAUUUUUUAAUUUAAAAUAUUUAGUAAAAAUGAUAUAAUUAGUAAAGUUAAUUUAAGUAAUUCGGCAAUUAUUUUUCUCACCUGUUUAUUAAAAACAUGUCCUUUUGAUUUUAAUUUAAGGUCUGGCCUGCUCUAUGAUUAAAUGGCCGCAGUAUUCUGACUGUGCAAAGGUAGCAUAAUCAUUAGUUUUUUAAUUGAAAGCUGGAAUGAAUGGUUUGAUGAAGAAAAAUCUGUCUCUAGAAUUUUAUUUUUAAGUUAAAAAGCUUAAAUUUUAUAAAAAGACGAGAAGACCCUAUAGAGUUUUUUUGUUGGGGUGAUAUAAAAAUUUAAUUAACUUUUUAUUUUGGUGAUUUGUUGAUCCUAGAUUAAAAGAAAAAAUUACCUUAGG
RNAcentral lists this ribosomal RNA (1189 nucleotides) under Trichosalpingus sp. NLG-2012. Its description in RNAcentral is "partial 16S ribosomal RNA". Lineage: Eukaryota; Metazoa; Arthropoda; Insecta; Coleoptera; Mycteridae. The record is from RNAcentral.